UGAGUAACACGUAUCCAACCUGCCGUCUACUCUUGGACAGCCUUCUGAAAGGAAGAUUAAUACAAGAUGGCAUCAUGAGUCCACAUGUUCACAUGAUUAAAGGUAUUCCGGUAGACGAUGGGGAUGCGUUCCAUUAGAUAGUAGGCGGGGUAACGGCCCACCUAGUCUUCGAUGGAUAGGGGUUCUGAGAGGAAGGUCCCCCACAUUGGUACUGAGACACGGACCAA
This 227-nucleotide ribosomal RNA is filed under the name uncultured bacterium. Its description in RNAcentral is "partial 16S ribosomal RNA". It matches the Rfam family "Bacterial small subunit ribosomal RNA", at positions 107 to 334 of the family's 1533-position model. The record is from RNAcentral.